GAUGAACGCUGGCGGCGUGCCUAAUACAUGCAAGUCGAGCGAACAGAUAAGGAGCUUGCUCCUUUGACGUUAGCGGCGGACGGGUGAGUAACACGUGGGUAACCUACCUAUAAGACUGGGAUAACUUCGGGAAACCGGAGCUAAUACCGGAUAACAUUUUGAACCGCAUGGUUCUAAAGUGAAAGAUGGUUUUGCUAUCACUUAUAGAUGGACCCGCGCCGUAUUAGCUAGUUGGUAAGGUAACGGCUUACCAAGGCGACGAUACGUAGCCGACCUGAGAGGGUGAUCGGCCACACUGGAACUGAGACACGGUCCAGACUCCUACGGGAGGCAGCAGUAGGGAAUCUUCCGCAAUGGGCGAAAGCCUGACGGAGCAACGCCGCGUGAGUGAUGAAGGGUUUCGGAUCGUAAAACUCUGUUAUUAGGGAAGAACAAACGUGUAAGUAACUGUGCACGUCUUGACGGUACCUAAUCAGAAAGCCACGGCUAACUACGUG
Molecule: ribosomal RNA, 497 nt
Filed under: uncultured bacterium
Lineage: Bacteria
Description: partial 16S ribosomal RNA
Rfam family: Bacterial small subunit ribosomal RNA
Source: RNAcentral